AUGGAGAGCAAGAGCAAUUCGCUCUUGGUGGUCGCUGGGCUCCUCCUGGCAGCUGCUGUGGACGCCGGAGAAGGGUGCGCGGCGUGGCGGAGGCUGGAGAACACGGUGGAGCCGGAGCUGGACUACCAGGUCCGAAGCCUUGCUCUAUCUCCUGGUGAUAUCAGGCCGGACGUGUACAAGCCAAACAAGCCGGUGUGCAUCCCGGGUCAAGGCUGUGCUAAACCUGGAGAGCGCUACACACCUCAUUCCGGCUAUGAGUGUAGACACUACAACAGAGAAGCGGGCUGCUAG
Molecule: ribosomal RNA, 291 nt
Filed under: Triticum aestivum (bread wheat)
Lineage: Eukaryota; Viridiplantae; Streptophyta; Magnoliopsida; Poales; Poaceae
Description: partial small subunit ribosomal RNA
Source: RNAcentral